Molecule: non-coding RNA, 73 nt
Organism: Tricholoma furcatifolium
Lineage: Eukaryota; Fungi; Basidiomycota; Agaricomycetes; Agaricales; Tricholomataceae
Source: the annotation of a GenBank genome assembly
GGCGAUGUGGCUCAAUGGUUUAAGUCGUGCUGUUGUCAGCCAUUGGGCGUGGGUUCGAAUCCCAACACCGUCA